CAGUGUAAUGCCCCCACCCAAGGUGUUGGACAUGGUGGUAGAGCCCUACAAUGUCACCCUCUCCGUCCACCAGCUCACAGAAAACACAGACGAGACCUUUUGCAUUGAUAAGGAAGCUCUCUAAGACAUCUGCUUCCGACCCCUAAAGCUGCCCACACCCACCUAUGGUGUCCUGAGCCACCUGGUGUCUGCACUGUGAGUGGGGUCACCACCUGCCUGAGCUUCCAGGGCCAGCUCAAUGGCCAUGAACAGGGUCCUAUUCCCCCGCUUGCACUUCUUCAUGUCUGGACUCAUCCAGACCAUACAGGACAACCAGCAGUACUGAGCCCCGAUGGUGCCCAAGCCCAUCCAGCGGAUGUUUGAUGCCAAGAAUAUGAUGGCUGCGUGGGACCCCCCUCUGUGGCUGUUGCUUAGCAGCUGCCAUGUUCAGGGGCCGUACGUGCACGGAGGAGGUGGAUAAGUAAAUGCUUAAUCUCCAAAACAAGGACAGCAGCUACUUUGUUCAUUGAAUCCCCCACAAGGUGAAAACAGCUGUCUGUAACAUCCCACCCUGGGGGCUAAAGAUGGCUGCCACCGUCAUUGGCAACAACACAGCCAUCUAGGAGCUGUUCAGGUGCAUCUCGUACAGUUCACAGCCAUUUUCUGGCACAAAGCCUUCCAGCACUAGUACAUGGGAAGUGGCAUGGAUGAGAUGGAGUUCACUGAGGCUGUGAGCAGCAUGAACAUGUCCGAGUACAGGAUACCACAGCCAAGGAGGAGAGAGAGUUUGAGGAGUGGGCCUAUGAGGAGGUGGCCUAG
This 798-nucleotide long non-coding RNA is filed under the name Homo sapiens (human). Its description in RNAcentral is "non-protein coding lnc-UBAP2-4:1". Lineage: Eukaryota; Metazoa; Chordata; Mammalia; Primates; Hominidae. The record is from RNAcentral.